CACACAUCUCUAUGGGGAAAUAUACCACAAACAUUUGGUCAAAGCUUGCCCAGGAUCUUCAGAACACAUAUGGAAUCUCACUUAAGAGUCCACACGACGAGAAGAGAAAAAGGAAGAUACAUAAGAAGCCUCUUGAGGUCUCUUCCAGCUCUCAUUUCCCAUGAUGUUUUGUGGACUGGUUUUGGGUAGACGAAAGAAGAAUAAGAUCAAGCAGUAGCAAUGGCAUAAACUGAAAUAGAAAAGAAUGGGCAAUCAAAUGAGAUAGAACAGAGUUAGAGUUUCAGUACCAAGCUGUCAUUUCAAGCUAAACCAAAACAGAUUUAUUAUGCAAAAACAGUUCUUACAAUGGCUACUGGGAAAACAAUUAAUGUUUUAAUAACUGCAGAAUUAAACCAUUAAAAAUAAAGACCCCCCCCCCACUGAGAGAAAAUAUGCA
Molecule: long non-coding RNA, 436 nt
Filed under: Parus major (Great Tit)
Lineage: Eukaryota; Metazoa; Chordata; Aves; Passeriformes; Paridae
Description: lncRNA (ENSPMJG00000015549.1)
Source: RNAcentral